RNAcentral lists this small RNA (27 nucleotides) under Bombyx mori (domestic silkworm). Its description in RNAcentral is "ovarian small RNA-36414". Lineage: Eukaryota; Metazoa; Arthropoda; Insecta; Lepidoptera; Bombycidae. The record is from RNAcentral.
UUACAAGCUGAUACAACCGCUCCAGAA